Non-coding RNA from Alexandromys fortis (reed vole), 408 nucleotides. NCBI's taxonomy places the organism in Eukaryota, Metazoa, Chordata, Mammalia, Rodentia, Cricetidae. The record is from the annotation of a RefSeq genome assembly.
AUGGACUCUUCUCCAGGCUUUGUGAUUGCAAUACUCCUCAUAUUCGGGGCUGCUGGCGAGACCCAAGUGGAGCAGAGUCCCAAGUCCCUGGUUGUCCUGCAAGGAGAGAAUUGCAUCCUUCAUUGCAAUUACACUGUGAGCCCUGCUAACAACUUAAGGUGGUACAGACAAGACACAGGCAGAAGUCUUGUGUCCCUGGCACUCAUGACAAACAGUGAGAACAAAAAGUCAAAUGGAAGAUACUCAGCAAUUCUGGAUGCAGAUGCUAAGAACAGCACCCUGCAUAUCACAGCCGCCCAGCUGGAGGAUACAGCCUUCUACAUCUGUGUGGUCGGUGCACCGUGCUCCACAGGUACUUGCAGCCAGUACCAAAACCUGCUCCUGGAGGCUUCAAGGAGGUCUAGGUGA